GGACAAGUUAGUUGUACCAGACUGGACAGCUUACUUCUUUGUUGUUAUCCGAACAGCUGUCAGGUGCAGCUACAAUUCUAGGCGCAAUCUAAAAACACCCAUGCAGUGACAUUAGUACCAAAGCAUGACAAAAUUAAGGAUAAAUAUGCUGAGAUCCACUGAGUUAUAAAAUGCAAUUUACUGAACUGAAAAUGCUAAAGAUAACUAAAUGGGUACAAAUUAACCAAUAAGUAGGGAGAAAACAUAUGUUCAUUCUAGUACUAUCAACUAACAUAUAGUUGAUUGAUGACAAAGUGUUGUCAUUGACAUAGGGAUGUCAAAAUCAAUACAUGAGUAUAUGUUAGAGAACAACAUAUUGGACUGACCUGCUAUGAGUAUGUUUCUUGGAUUAUUAUAUAAUAGUCACAACAUUACUCGUAGUGAUAACUACGUAUACGAUCCUUAGACUUGAGAUCAUCAUUGUCCCACCAUAUUGAGUCAUAUAUUUUGAUACAGUCAAAUGUCUACUGUAACAUGUUGUACUAUAAAGACUGAUGUUAGGUAUGCCACAAUCUAUGUAGUGAGAUAUGAUUGAUCAAGAUAAGAUUUGUCUCUUCUACAAAAUGGGAGCAAUAUCUUAGGCCACUUGAUGAAGUGAGACUAGAAAUGCAUGGUCAUGCUCAAAUAAGUUAAUAUGAGAUACUACACUUAUUUGUUUAUUGUAUUCUACUUCAGGUAUCAAGAAACAUGAGAUUGGACUUUGCAAGUGUGAUUAUUCCAUGACUUGUAUCGAAUCGAGAUAUAAUGGACAAAAGGAUAUAAUACAUGAAAAUUUAUUGUACAAUAUAUGUUUCUCUAUCUUUGCAACUUUGCAACUUAAUAUAUCUUUUCAACUUAAAGGAAAAAAGGACAAAAGGAUAUAAUACAUGACUUGUAACCAAUAUCAUACUUUAAAUCCUGACUUCUAUCUACCAAUACAACAUUUAUUGCACAAUAUAUGUUUCUCUCUCUUUUCUUUUCUUUUUUUGUGAACAAGGGAUAUCGUUGAAUUACUAUACCCUUGUUCCUAAAAAGUAACGAUGGAGUGCAACAAACCCCUAAAGAGUACGUAACUCCGCCGACACACUCGUGCAGCGACAACCUUUAACCAGAUUCAUUUUUCUAACACUUGCAUUGGAGUGUUCUCCCUUUAACAUUUCACAAUACACCCACUUUGUAGUGUCUCUUAUUUAUAACUAUAUAUACAUUUGAGUAGCUAUAAAAGGCAAAUUCAUUCAAGAUUCGAGGAAUGCUACUAGUUAUCCAUUACUAAUGCAACUUCAAUCAUUCAUCAAAGAAUUGAAGAUACAACAUUUGGUCAAAUUUAUCCAACUCAUUCAUUAAUAAUUCACAUGAUUCAAGAAUUAAGCAUUGAAUGUAACAAAAAUUUUCAAACACAUUUGCAUUAACCAAGAAUAAACCUUAAAUGUUUCAUUUUUUUUUUGAAAUGUGGUUGUAUUCCCAAAACCCAUAUGCAUUCCCCUAAACUUAAAGUUUGCAUUGUCCCCAAUGCACUAACAUUAACAUGCAAUGACAAUAAAAAUGCAACGACAAUGUACACUAAAAAAAAUGAAAAUUACAGCUACAUGCGAUGUAUGAAUACUACAACUAAAACUUAAAAUAAACCAACUCAGUUUUCCUCGGCCAUCAAUGUGGCUGCACGAUGUUUAUUUUUCCUCCUCUUUUUCUCCUCUUUCUUGCGCUUUUUGUCUUUAAAGCGCUUUCUCUUCUUUUCUUUGGGCUUCGCACGAUCCCCGAAUCGCUCCUCAGUUUCUGUCAUUACCCUAGCAUCAUCGACUUCUUCUUGUGUAGGAGGGGUCACCUUGAAUGGUCCGGUAUAGACCACUAUCGCCAAUGAGUUGUAGUGUUCCUCAUUGGUUACCUCUGCAACUUCCACUGAUCUAGCUCCAUCUUGCUCCAGAUUAUCAGUAGUUGCACCCACAAACUCAGAUGCAUUGACAAUAUCCUCAACAGAUUCUUUCUUAGCAACUUCUGUCUCAGUAUUUUCUUCAUCGGUCAUCUCAUUCACAAUGUCAACACGGACGUCCUCCUCGUCCACAACAACUUCCUCCUCAAUAAUAGGUGCUUCUUGACCAGCAAUGAAGUUGCCCUCAACCAGGUUAUCAAUUCGUCACAUGUACUCCUCAACAUCCCUUGAAUUAUCUUCUUUCUCAAAAUCAGAGACGUGCACAAUGGGAGGGGAUUCCACCGAUCUGUCUCGGUCCCCUAGGUCAUCUUCCUCGAAGGAGGGUUCAUACUCAGAUAAUCAGUGGGAACACUAGAAAUUCUGGGAGUGGGGUUGGGCUUAACUAACGUAAUGUGACGACCUCACAAAUUUUACAGCAGCACAGACUCUCAUAAUAGAAACAUCAACAUCUUUCAGCCCAUCUUUAACAACCAAAUUCAGAAUAUGUGCAACACAUCUUAUAUGCAAAAAUUCAAAAUUAAACACACUUCCAUCCCAUAAGUUAACAAUUUGCUUCAAAUACUUGAUCAUUAGAUCAUUAGAACUAGCAUUAUCAACCGUUAUAGUCAAUAUCCUCUUAAGACCCCAUUCUAAUAGACACUUUUCAACAGCCCUAGCGAUAAGCUCCCUAGAAUGACUAGCAAUUGAGCAAAAGUUAAUGAUCAUUUUAUGUAAUUUCCAAGCAUCAUCUAUGAAAUGGGAAGUAAGACACAUAUAUGAAAAAUUUUGACCAGAUGUCCGUGUAUUAGUGGUAAGACAUACCUUAAAAGACAAAUUCUUGAAAAUUUUCUUUAACGUCUUCUUUUUUUCAUUAAAAAGAGCAUAACAAUCUCUUGUAAUAGUAGCAUGUAAGGGAGGAACAAAAUUAGGAAUGACAAUCUUGCAAAAGUAAUGAAAACCUUCACGUUCAACAAACUAAAUGGCAACUCAUUAAUAAUCACCAUUUUAGCAAGUGCUUGUCUAAUAUCAUCUUGAUCAAAGCGGCAUAAUCUAGGAACACUAGCAGUUUCUAUGGUCCCAUCAACAUUUCACUUUGUCUUAGACUCAAAAUCUAAUAUUGUUAGUUUUUUAUCUAGGUUGAAAGGGGCAUUCUUACACCGACUACUGUGACGCCUCAUUACAUUAGUUCCAUUGUUAGAUGAACAAGUUAUCUUUCCACCACAAUAAAUACAUUCAACAUGAUUUUUAUCACCAUCAAUUUUUCUAAAAUGAUCCCAAAUAGUAGAAGGUUUUCUCUUUUUACCUUCAUCUGUUGUAAUUUCAAUGGGCUUCUCCCAUUUCCUUUUAUUUUUUGCACUUGUUAGAGUCUCCAUCACCAUUUUAGCCUUUUUUAGGUUCCUUAGAUGAUCAGUUGAGGAAGAUAUAUUCUUUAAGUCAUCAUCAUUUUCACCAAUCUUCGACAUAUUUUAAAAAAAACAUAUACUUUAGUUAAUUAUGAUUCGUAAAACAAACAAAGUACACAUGAACUUUGUUUAGUUUAUUUAUAUUUACAUGCCUUCUUUCUUAUAUAGAAGAAAAUUAACCUUACCAUCAUUGGUGAAACACAUGCAAAAGGUGAAAACAUAAAGAAAAAGUAAAAAUACCAACAUAUACAAUGAAAGGUGAAAGCAACGAAAACCAUGAUAACAAAUACUCUUGGCUGAAAUUUUGAACUUUUAUCAUAAACCAAUCUAGAAAAAAUAAGCUGAAAAUUAGAUAAUUCAACUACCAUAACUCAAUUACUUAUUCUCAUAGAGUUGGUAAAAAAAAGUGGACUAGAUAAGAACCAAGAGAAUAGUUAAGAUGAUAAUUACAGUCAAAACAAUUAAUUAAGAAAUGAGCUUUUCAUCACAGACAGUAUCAUCAAAACAAUUUAAAUUAUAGUCAACAAAUAACAUCAGAAAAAAGGAACAUGAUUUAUGAACAGAAACUAUCCAUAGGGUAUAGGGAAGAACAAAGUGCAUUCAGAAAAAAUAAGAAGUAUAAAACCGUCUUAUAUGAUUGAAUAGACUGCAGAAUACAAUUGAUGAAAGUCUGAUUGUCUAAUACUAGACAAAGUUAAUAGCAAAUCAUUCGUCUCUUUAUUCCUAUAGGGUCACAACAUGAGGUAUAAAAUGGAAAGAAUCAAGCAAUAAUUUAGAAUCUUUAAUCAUAAUAAUAGUAAAUAUGUAACACCCCUAACCCGUAUCUAUCGCUGGAAUAGGAUUACAAAGCAUUACCGUAGAAUCGUAACUAAAAACAUUCAAUUCUAAACAUUUCAUAAUUCAUAGCAAUUUCAUUCAAACACAUACAUAUUGUCCCUUAUUCGAGCCCUCAAGUCCCAAGAAAUACAUUAGAAUCGAUUCAAGACUAAUUUGGAAACAUUUCGAACCUUAAGGAAAAAGAUAAAAUUUUUCACACUGUAAAGGUCACACGACCGUGUGGCCAGGCCGUGUGACUUACACGGCUGAAACAUACGCCCGUGUCUCAGGCCGUGUGGACAUUUGAAGUAGGGACACAUGACCGUGUCCCAGCCCCUGUCCGUUCCAAUGUAACUCUCUGACUUGGGUCACACGGCCAAGCCACACGCCCGUGUGCCAGGCCGUGUAACUGCCUGACUUGGAUGCCUUACAAACCUACAGGGGACACACGACCAUGUCGCAUGGCUGUGUGGACAUGAAAUUGGCCAAAUUUAAGCCAUUUCCAUCUCCAACUCCAAUAUGUACCUAAAAUCAUUUUGUUCCCACAUAAUAGACCUCAAAAUAAACCAAUUCAUUCAUGAAAUAAUCCAUUCAAUGUACCAAAAUAAUUCAUCCAAUCAAUAUGCCCAUAGGGCACCUCAAUUUUAAGCAACCAACAAUUCAUCUAAACAUGUCGAACAUUUAUCAAAAUUAAGCAGCAUAACUUAUUAUAAACAAAGCUAAUUCACAUAACAUACAUGAAGUAUUCAAGAAUCAUUAUUUGGCACCAAAAGAUUUAUACAUUUUCUACUUAAAUCUGUUCCAAAAGGUUUACCUAAUUAUGCACACAAGUUCAACUAUCUUUUACUAGCAACAAGCAUAACAUAACAACUUUCAAUAUUUACAUCCAUACAAAAUAUCUAAGUACUAAAGACUCUUCCUAAUACAUGCCAUUUAAACCAACUAGCAAUAACCAAAAUGACUACCAAGAUGUUGAUGAUAGUGUGUGAGCUUCCGAGUCGAUCCAAUCAAUGCAAAAAUUUCAAAAGUCCUACAAGAAUAAAUCAAACUAAUAAGCACCAAAAAUCUUAGUAAGUUCGGUAUUAGCUUCAUUUAUUAUUUAACCCAAAAACUAUCAAAUUGAUGUAAAUUUUCAAUACACCGGCACAAAGCCUGCUAGGCACAUAGCCCAAAUAUCACCGGCACACAGCUUGCUAGACACACAGCUCGAAUAUCACCGGCACAAAGCCUACUAGGCACACAGCUCGAAUAUCACUGGCACAAAGCCUGCUAGGCACACAGUUCGAAUAUCAAUAGCACAAAGCCUACUAGGCACAUAGCCCGAAUAACAUUACAUUUCUAUUUCUUUAAACAUAACUAAGUGAAAUUCAUGAUUUAAUCAAUAAUGAAAAGCAUGAAAUGUUCAAUACAAUUAAUAGUAACCAUAUAACGAACUCACUUGGACUGAAUCGUAAAAAUUACAAAAGUUCAAGGACUAUUCCACUAUUUUUCUUUUUCUUAGUAUAUCUAUGGAAUCUUGUUCUAUAAUGUAAAAUUAUCCAAUUAUUAGCAUAAAUUUCAUUUCAAAUUCAUUUUGCAAUUAAUACCCUUUUAUUUUUCUAAUUUAUACAAUUAUCCUAAACUUUUAGAAUUUUUGCAAUUUAGUCUAUUAACUCGAAAUUCAUCAAAUUAAAUGAUUUUCUCAAGCCAAUAUUUUAUUAAAAUAUACUAGGCCCUCCAAAAGCCCCUAAUAAAUAUCAAAUUCACUAUCAAACCCUAAUAUUUUGACAUUUUCACCAUUUAAUCCUAAAAUCAAAAUCUAACAAAAAUCACUUUACAAAUUCAUCAAAUAACAUACUCAAAGCUCCAAAUACAUGGUAUUCAUAAAAAAAAUUCAAUAUUCAUCAAUGUCAACUUCCAAAAGUUUUAACAGAAUAGAAAACAAAUGUAUGAGCUAACUGGACCUAGUUGCAACGAUCUCAAAAACAUAAAAAUUACAAAUGGGUAAGAAUUGAACUCACAUGCAAAGAAAUUUGCUUGGUCGAUUCUCCUAUCUUGAGAAAUUUGAAUUUCGGCUAUGGAAUGUGAAAAUGAGGAAGAAAACAUUUUUCUUUUACUUAAUUUUGUUUUAAUUUCAUUUUAAUUACAAAUUUGCCAUCCAUUAUAUAUUAAUUUAUUAUUUUCACUUACUUAGCCGUCCAACAUUAGCUAUUAGAGACUAAUUGCUAUAUUGGUCCCUCUUCAUGUGGUUAAUAGACUAAUUAGUCAUUUAGUUAAACUAAUUACUAACUUUUUCACUUUUUUUAGUUUAGUCCUUUUUCUUUAAUUAACUAUGUAAACGUUAAUCUAAAUUUUAAUACGACUCUAAUGACUCUAAAAACAUUCUAAAAAAAAUAUUUUCGAGUCGACACGAUGGAAAUUUGUGGUCCUAAAACUACUAUUCCGUCACCACUGAAAAUCGGGUUGUUACAAAAUAUCAAGCUCUAGCAUUUACAGUUGUUAUAAAAUAUCCAUAAUUUCUAAUUUUCUAUCACCUAAAAUAUUUGCAAAGCACCAUAGUGAAAUAGAAAACAAAAGCUCAAACUGAUUGACUAGUAUACCAAAGAGAAAACAAACAAAAAACGAACAACAACAGAACAAAACAGAGAAGUUUGAGAAGAGACGAAGAGAAGAUGGGUAGACUGAAAUAUUGAAUAGUAGUGCUUACUUGAGCUUUGAGAUGGCAACGAGCGGCGAUGGUGGGAGCGAUCAGACAGCGGGUGACGAGUGGUCAUAGAUAGCCAGUCGAUUGGUGGGAGUAAGGUUGACGGGGAUGAUUUGCGCGGGAGAAUUGAACGAGUGGGAUAGUGAUUUAGUAAUUAGGGUAAAAAAUUGGGAAUCAGUUUAAGUUUU
Molecule: long non-coding RNA, 7014 nt
Filed under: Gossypium raimondii (Peruvian cotton)
Lineage: Eukaryota; Viridiplantae; Streptophyta; Magnoliopsida; Malvales; Malvaceae
Description: long non-coding RNA (GRAI_LNC009194)
Source: RNAcentral